UGGCGACCGGCGCACGGGUGAGUAACACGUAUCCAACCUGCCGAUGACUCGGGGAUAGCCUUUCGAAAGAAAGAUUAAUACCCGAUGGCAUAGUUCUUCCGCAUGGUAGAACUAUUAAAGAAUUUCGGUCAUCGAUGGGGAUGUGUUCCAUUAGCUUGUUGGCGGGGUAACGGCCCACCAAGGCAUCGAUGGAUAGGGGUUCUGAGAGGAAGGUCCCCCACAUUGGAACUGAGACACGGUCCAAACUCCUACGGGAGGCAGCAG
RNAcentral lists this ribosomal RNA (264 nucleotides) under uncultured bacterium. RNAcentral describes it as "partial 16S ribosomal RNA". It matches the Rfam family "Bacterial small subunit ribosomal RNA", at positions 89 to 354 of the family's 1533-position model. The record is from RNAcentral.